GCAUAUGCCGUAAGGUGAAAGGAGUAAUCCGUCUGGAGAUGAGCCCGCGUCCGAUUAGCUAGUUGGUAGGGUAAAGGCCUACCAAGGCGACGAUCGGUAGCUGGUCUGAGAGGAUGAUCAGCCACAAUGGGACUGAGACACGGCCCAUACUCCUACGGGAGGCAGCAGUGGGGAAUUUUACGCAAUGGGGGAAACCCUGACGUAGCGACACCGCGUGAGCGAAGAAGCCCCUUGGGGUGUAAAGCUCUGUCGGCUGGAACGAAAAAAAUGACGGUACCAGCAAAGGAAGCAUCGGCUAACUACGUGCCAGCAGCCGCGGUAAGACGUAGGAUGCAAGCGUUGUCCGGAUUUAUUGGGCGUAAAGAGUUCGUAGGUGGUUUGUCAAGUCUGAUGUUAAAGAUCGGGGCUCAACCCUGGGACUGCAUUGGAUACUGGCAGACUUGAGUAUGGUAGAGGCUAGUGGAAUUCCCAGUGUAGCGGUGAAAUGCGUAGAUAUUGGGAAGAACACCGGUGGCGUAGGCGACUAGCCGGGCCAUAACUGACGCUGAGGAACGAAAGCCAGGGGAGCGAAUGGGAUUAGAUACCCCAGUAGUCCUGGCUGUAAACGAUGGAUACUAGGCGUAUCGGGUAUCGACCCCUGAUGUGCCGCAGCUAACGCGAUAAGUAUCCCGCCUGAGUAGUACGGCCGCAAGGUUGAAACUCAAAGGAAUUGACGGGGGCCCGCACAAGCGGUGGAACAUGUGGUUUAAUUCGAAGCA
Molecule: ribosomal RNA, 758 nt
Filed under: uncultured bacterium
Lineage: Bacteria
Description: bacterial SSU rRNA
Rfam family: Bacterial small subunit ribosomal RNA
Source: RNAcentral